CUGUGGUACUUGAUUGCCCUGGUGGUGUUUACCUCACAAAUGCUGCCUAAUUCAGGCCAGAGGGAAGGCAGAGCCAGUGAAAAGAGCUCCACGGGGUAGAAGAGGGUGGACCCAGGAAGAGAUGGCCUCCCCCUGUCCCUGACUCAACUGGAGCUCAGUUCACUCUGCUUUGAAGGAGUAGGAGGAGAACACUACUCACAAAAAGGAGGGCAAGAACCGGCUUGUUCACCAUUGUAUUCCUGCAUCACAGCAUAAGCACUCAAUCAUUAUGGGUUAAAGGCUGAAAUUCAAAAAGAGAAAGGGAGAUGUUAAACACCUACUGACCAAGGAGGUGCCCUCCAUCCUGUUUAACCACCGCCCAGGCCAGUCAUUUCUCUCCCUGGAAGACUUUGAGUCAUUCACGUACAAGGAAAAUUAGAGACAGGCUUUCACCAUGUUGGUCUCAAACUCCUGACCUCAAGUGAUCCACCUGCCUCAGCCUCCCAAAGUGCUGGGAUUACAGACGUGAGCCACUGCCACCCAGCCGAAUAAAGGACAAGAGUAGCAAAGAGGAUUAUGAGCAGUGCAAUACAAAACAAGGCUGCAACAAAAG
This 592-nucleotide long non-coding RNA is filed under the name Pan troglodytes (chimpanzee). Its description in RNAcentral is "lincRNA". The record is from RNAcentral. Lineage: Eukaryota; Metazoa; Chordata; Mammalia; Primates; Hominidae.